Molecule: long non-coding RNA, 350 nt
Filed under: Rattus norvegicus (Norway rat)
Lineage: Eukaryota; Metazoa; Chordata; Mammalia; Rodentia; Muridae
Description: long non-coding RNA NONRATT029854
Source: RNAcentral
GCAGAACUUUACUGGGUAACUGUUGACUGAGAAGUGCCUACCUUAGUCCCUACUUCAUACCUAUAACAUCAGUGAAACCUAAGAACCUCAGAGGAAGAGAGACCGACUCAGAGAAAGAAGCAACUUGGGAAACCCCAGGACACACAAACAAGCUUAGGGGCCUUUCUGGCUGAACAAUCUGGCUGCCCUGGAUCUGUCUUCCCUGCUGUGUUCGAGGAAGGGAGCUUGUGGGACUGGAAGGGUCAGUCACACCGGAGCCUGUCACUCAGGAGGAAUCUGUUUGUGUUUGAGGAGUGACUUCUGCCUAUAUACUUUUCUUUCAGAGUAAAUCCUACUAGUCAAAUGGUCAA